GAUGAACGCUAGCGGGAGGCCUAACACAUGCAAGCCGAGCGGUAUUGUUUCUUCGGAAAUGAGAGAGCGGCGUACGGGUGCGGAACACGUGUGCAACCUGCCUUUAUCUGGGGGAUAGCCUUUCGAAAGGAAGAUUAAUACUCCAUAAUAUAUUGAACGGCAUCGUUUAAUAUUGAAAGCUCCGGCGGAUAGAGAUGGGCACGCGCAAGAUUAGCUAGUUGGUGAGGUAACGGCUCACCAAGGCGAUGAUCUUUAGGGGGCCUGAGAGGGUGAUCCCCCACACUGGUACUGAGACACGGAUCAGACUCCUACGGGAGGCAGCAGUGAGGAAUAUUGGUCAAUGGGUGCAAGCCUGAACCAGCCAUCCCGCGUGAAGGACGACUGCCCUAUGGGUUGUAAACUUCUUUUGUAUAGGGAUAAACCUACCCUCGUGAGGGUAGCUGAAGGUACUAUACGAAUAAGCACCGGCUAACUCCGUGCCAGCAGCCGCGGUAAUACGGAGGGUGCAAGCGUUAUCCGGAUUUAUUGGGUUUAAAGGGUCCGUAGGCGGACUUAUAAGUCAGUGGUGAAAGCCUGUCGCUUAACGAUAGAACUGCCAUUGAUACUGUAAGUCUUGAGUAUAUUUGAGGUAGCUGGAAUAAGUAGUGUAGCGGUGAAAUGCAUAGAUAUUACUUAGAACACCAAUUGCGAAGGCAGGUUACCAAGAUAUAACUGACGCUGAGGGACGAAAGCGUGGGGAGCGAACAGGAUUAGAUACCCUGGUAGUCCACGCCGUAAACGAUGCUAACUCGUUUUUGGGCUUUAGGGUUCAGAGACCAAGCGAAAGUGAUAAGUUAGCCACCUGGGGAGUACGCUCGCAAGAGUGAGACUCAAAGGAAUUGACGGGGGCCCGCACAAGCGGUGGAUUAUGUGGUUUAAUUCGAUGAUACGCGAGGAACCUUACCAAGACUUAAAUGGGAAUUGACAGCUUUAGAAAUAGAGCUUUCUUCGGACAAUUUUCAAGGUGCUGCAUGGUUGUCGUCAGCUCGUGCCGUGAGGUGUUAGGUUAAGUCCUGCAACGAGCGCAACCCCUGUCACUAGUUGCCAUCAUUCAGUUGGGGACUCUAGUGAGACUGCCUACGCAAGUAGAGAGGAAGGUGGGGAUGACGUCAAAUCAUCACGGCCCUUACGUCUUGGGCCACACACGUAAUACAAUGGCCGGUACAGAGGGCAGCUACACAGCGAUGUGAUGCAAAUCUCGAAAGCCGGUCUCAGUUCGGAUUGGAGUCUGCAACUCGACUCUAUGAAGCUGGAAUCGCUAGUAAUCGCGCAUCAGCCAUGGCGCGGUGAAUACGUUCCCGGGCCU
This 1345-nucleotide ribosomal RNA is filed under the name uncultured bacterium. Its description in RNAcentral is "bacterial SSU rRNA". It matches the Rfam family "Bacterial small subunit ribosomal RNA", at positions 28 to 1381 of the family's 1533-position model. The record is from RNAcentral.